RNAcentral lists this transfer RNA (89 nucleotides) under Dehalococcoidales bacterium. RNAcentral's name for it is "tRNA-Leu". It matches the Rfam family "tRNA". Rfam says of the family: Transfer RNA (tRNA) molecules are approximately 80 nucleotides in length. The record is from RNAcentral. Lineage: Bacteria; Bacillati; Chloroflexota; Dehalococcoidia; Dehalococcoidales.
GCCGAAGUGGCGGAAUAGGCAGACGCGGCAGUCUCAAAAACUGUUGGAGGGAAACCUCUGUGUCGGUUCGAGCCCGACCUUCGGCACCA